UGAAAUCUCACCAGGCCCGGACACUGGAAGGAUUGACAGAUUGAUAGCUCUUUCUUGAUUCGGUGCGUGGUGGUGCAUGGCCGUUCUUAGUUGGUUGAGUGAUUUGUCUUGUUAAUUCCGAUAACGAACGAGACUCUGUCCUGCUAAAUAGUGACGCGGUUCAUCGAACCGUGGGCCACUUCUUAGAGGGACUAUCGGAUUCAAACCGAUGGAAGUGUGAGGCAAUAA
Molecule: ribosomal RNA, 228 nt
Filed under: uncultured eukaryote
Lineage: Eukaryota
Description: partial 18S ribosomal RNA
Rfam family: Eukaryotic small subunit ribosomal RNA
Source: RNAcentral